This is a small nucleolar RNA of Impatiens glandulifera, 135 nucleotides long. RefSeq annotates it as small nucleolar RNA snoR74. The record is from RefSeq and is a predicted model, not a curated record. The transcript has a single exon. Lineage: Eukaryota; Viridiplantae; Streptophyta; Magnoliopsida; Ericales; Balsaminaceae.
AAAAAAGCAGGGACCUGGUGCUUUUAUUAUAGCCUUGCCUCUCGUAUACUUCAGGGAAACUGAUAUGUGCAUUGUUAUUGGGUGAAUCUCUUGAUUAGUUACUGAUAGGAAGGUUCAGUAAAUGAUGCUACAUGU